UACAGAGGGGGCAAGCGUUGUUCGGAAUUACUGGGCGUAAAGGGUGCGUAGGUGGUGAGGUAAGUCUGAUGUGAAAUCUCCGAGCUUAACUCGGAAAUGGCAUUGGAAACUACCUUGCUAGAGGGUUGGAGGGGGGACUGGAAUACUUGGUGUAGCAGUGAAAUGCGUAGAUAUCAAGUGGAACACCAGUGGCGAAGGCGAGUCCCUGGACAACUCCUGACACUGAGGCACGAAAGCUAGGGGAGCAAACAGG
Molecule: ribosomal RNA, 253 nt
Filed under: uncultured bacterium
Lineage: Bacteria
Description: partial 16S ribosomal RNA
Rfam family: Bacterial small subunit ribosomal RNA
Source: RNAcentral